RNAcentral lists this long non-coding RNA (642 nucleotides) under Malus domestica (apple). Its description in RNAcentral is "long non-coding RNA (MDOM_LNC014204)". The record is from RNAcentral. Lineage: Eukaryota; Viridiplantae; Streptophyta; Magnoliopsida; Rosales; Rosaceae.
AAAUUGAUACAUUACCUUGUGCAUCUCCACCAGUUACAGAUACCACCCCUGGAUGGAGGAAGAGUACUUCUAGAGAAGAUGUCACAUCUACCUAUGAGACAGAUAAAGGCAAGUCAAGACGAUACCACACUCCGGUACUUAGAAGUUUCGUGGCUACGAGAUCAUUCUCCCACAAUAUUUCCUAAUGUCAUUUGUACUAAAUCAUUCACUUGUACUCACUAAAGGAGAGCUUGAAUCUAUGUACUUGUGUAAACCCUUCACAAUUAAUGAGAACUCCUCUAUUCCGUGGACGUAGCCAAUCUGGGUGAAUCACGUAUAUCUUGUGUUUGCUUUCCUAUCUAUAUCCAUUUAUAUACUUAUCCACACUAAUGACCGGAGCAAUCUAGCGAAGAUCACAAAAAGUGAUCGUUUUCGCUACCUAGGAUCUAUCUUGCAAGAGAACGGAGAAUUAGAUGGAGAUCUCAACCAUAGAAUACAAGCUGGAUGGAUGAAGUGUAAGAGUGCAUCCGGCGUGUUGUGUGACCGUCGUAGGCCACUAAAGCUCAAGGGAAAAUUUUAUAGGACGGCAUUAAGGCCAGCGAUGUUGUAUGGCACAGAAUGUUGGGCGGUGAAGCAUCAACGUACACAAAAUGGGUGUAGCGG